Molecule: ribosomal RNA, 496 nt
Filed under: uncultured bacterium
Lineage: Bacteria
Description: partial 16S ribosomal RNA
Rfam family: Bacterial small subunit ribosomal RNA
Source: RNAcentral
AUGAACGCUGGCGGCGUGCCUAAUACAUGCAAGUCGAGCGAACAGAUGAGGAGCUUGCUCCUCUGACGUUAGCGGCGGACGGGUGAGUAACACGUGGAUAACCUACCUAUAAGACUGGGAUAACUUCGGGAAACCGGAGCUAAUACCGGAUAAUAUAUUGAACCGCAUGGUUCAAUAGUGAAAGACGGUUUUGCUGUCACCUAUAGAUGGAUCCGCGCCGCAUUAGCUAGUUGGUAAGGUAACGGCUUACCAAGGCAACGAUGCAUAGCCGACCUGAGAGGGUGAUCGGCCACACUGGAACUGAGACACGGUCCAGACUCCUACGGGAGGCAGCAGUAGGGAAUCUUCCGCAAUGGGCGAAAGCCUGACGGAGCAACGCCGCGUGAGUGAUGAAGGUCUUCGGAUCGUAAAACUCUGUUAUUAGGGAAGAACAAAUGUGUAAGUAACUAUGCACGUCUUGACGGUACCUAAUCAGAAAGCCACGGCUAACUACGUG